UGGACCAUUGAUAGAUAAUGACUGUGAUUCUGAGUUAAGGGUGAUGAAUGUCAUGUGUCUGGAUAUCUGAAGCCCAA
This is a non-coding RNA of Pteropus alecto (black flying fox), 77 nucleotides long. NCBI's taxonomy places the organism in Eukaryota, Metazoa, Chordata, Mammalia, Chiroptera, Pteropodidae. The record is from Rfam.